CAGUAGCCACGGUAAUACGAAGGGGGCUAGCGUUGCUCGGAAUUACUGGGCGUAAAGGGAGCGUAGGCGGACAUUUAAGUCAGGGGUGAAAUCCCAGAGCUCAACUCUGGAACUGCCUUUGAUACUGGGUGUCUUGAGUGUGAUAGAGGUAUGUGGAACUCCGAGUGUAGAGGUGAAAUUCGUAGAUAUUCGGAAGAACACCAGUGGCGAAGGCGACAUACUGGAUCAUUACUGACGCUGAGGCUCGAAAGCGUGGGGAGCAAACAGGAUUAGAUACCCCAGUAGUCCCUGUCUCUUAUAC
This 301-nucleotide ribosomal RNA is filed under the name uncultured bacterium. Its description in RNAcentral is "partial 16S ribosomal RNA". It matches the Rfam family "Bacterial small subunit ribosomal RNA", at positions 509 to 807 of the family's 1533-position model. The record is from RNAcentral.